This 697-nucleotide long non-coding RNA is filed under the name Cavia porcellus (domestic guinea pig). RNAcentral describes it as "lncRNA (ENSCPOG00000031277.1)". The record is from RNAcentral. Lineage: Eukaryota; Metazoa; Chordata; Mammalia; Rodentia; Caviidae.
CAGAAACUGGAGUCUAAAGAGAGCAAGCGAUUUCCCUAAAGUCGUAUGUUGAUUCAACAACAAGAAAAUUUGAGGUCAUCAGAUCAUCAUUACCAACCUUUCUCCCCUAGAACUCUAUUGUCAUUUUGUUUGCCUGAGAAUCCCACAGAGGUAAAUAUAACCCCCACCUUACUGACACAGACCUUGGCUUUGGACAUGCUUCGUCCUGUGGAACGUGAGUAGUUAUAACAUUUGCCAUCUCUGCAUGGAAGCUCUAAGUGGAACUGUGUUCCUGGGCCCUGCCAUGAAAACAGCACUUCCCGCACGUGAACACCACCAUCAUGCCGGGCCCUGGGUGAGAAGCCAGAUAGAGUAAAAUUCAGCUCAGCAGCUCCAGAUCAGUCUCACUUAGAGCACUGUGAGGCUGCAUACUAAUGGGAAUCUUGGCACUGGCAAGCAGAGAUAUAUGGAACAUGUGUGCAACUGUCCACCAAACAUGAUGGCUUUUCAGGAUUACCAAUCCUGUAUGGCAACAACAAACAGUGGUCCCAGGGACGUGGCUUCCCAACAUGGCAAUUCAACACAAUUUGUAGGCCUAAUCACCACCUGGAAAAACUCAAGAUUCCAUCAAACACAACUUCCACACUUCAGAGCUGGGGAGACUGAGGCCAAGAAGGUAGGUGGGGGUGCCAUGGUCACACAGCAUAUAAGGGUAGGA